AUUGAACGCUGGCGGCAGGCCUAAUACAUGCAAGUCGAGCGGACGAAGGGAGCUUGCUCCUCGAUUCCGCGGCGGACGGGCGAGUAAUGCCUAGGAAUCUGACUGACAUAGGGGGAUAACGUCCCGUAACGGGCGCUAAUAUCGCAUACGUCCUUAUGUUGAACCGGGGGGUUCUUUGGUCCAAGCCGUUUUUGCUGACCCUAGUACGGAUUAGCUAGUUGGUGUGGUAAGGGCCUACCAAGGCGACGAUCCGUAACCGGUCUGAGAGGGUGAUCAGUCACACUGGAACUGAGACACGGUCCAGACUCCUACGGGAGGCAGCAGUGGGGAAUCUUCGGCAAUGGGCGAAAGCCUGACGCAGCAAUGCCGCGUGUGUGAAGAAGGUCUUCGGAUUGUAAAGCUCUUUUAGUUGGGAGGAAGGACAGUGAGUGAAUCCCUGGAUGUCUUGACGUUACCAAAAGAGUAAGCCCCGGCUAACUUCGUG
RNAcentral lists this ribosomal RNA (484 nucleotides) under uncultured bacterium. RNAcentral's name for it is "partial 16S ribosomal RNA". It matches the Rfam family "Bacterial small subunit ribosomal RNA", at positions 30 to 507 of the family's 1533-position model. The record is from RNAcentral.